Molecule: long non-coding RNA, 1183 nt
Filed under: Sus scrofa (pig)
Lineage: Eukaryota; Metazoa; Chordata; Mammalia; Artiodactyla; Suidae
Description: lncRNA (ENSSSCG00030039158.1)
Source: RNAcentral
GGGCCUCAGCCCAGUUUCAGGGCGGCCUCCGCUGGCCCCAGCCUGACUAAUAAAGUGUGAAAUUGACUUCAUCCUCUGCCGCGUCUCCCCAGCCAGUGUCCCCGCAGCACCUCCGCGGCCUCCACCGAGGCCGCGCUGUCGGCCUCGCUCUGUCACGGCAGACAGGCGGGUCAGCAGCGCCCACGCCGCCCCAGGGCCCAGCGCCGCAGAGCCCACGGAGCCUUCUGGCCUCAGGCCAGGAUGGGCUUUCAAAGCUAGAAGCAUCCGAUGUGGCAUGUGUGACGCAGCUUCUAAGUCAGCCGCCGGCCCCUCCUGUCCCUGUUUACUCCUCUGGCGCUGGCGGCGGACGCAUGGGAGGGGGGCAGCGAGGACGGCAUUAGGGGAGACCCCGGAGACCCCUCCCCUCCACUGCACCAGACGCAGGGCUGGAGAAUCAGAGCACAAGAGACCACGGGGAGCGAGGAAGUCGGGGUGCUCACGGGAGCCCCCGGGGGCCUUAGGGGCUGCCUGGGGGGUGAUGGGAGGCCCCCAGACCCCUCCUUCCACCAGGAUGGCGCUGUUUGAGGAUCCGUUUUAUUUAUUUGCUCAUGUUUAGCAUUUCCUAGGAAGAAGGGAAGGCCGUGACUCUAGGGAGUCCUAAACCAGGCGUUGUCCAGCGGUCCUUCCCAGACUGGCCUGUGCUGCACAUUCAACCGGCGACUUGGUCAAAAGGACAGAUUCCGACGCCUGUGGGAAGGCGUCCGGGAACCUGAAGCUUUCAGGAAGCUUCUGAGGAAGUUCUGAGACGUGUCAUCACUUUGCCGGUCAUUGUUUGGACUUGGUUGGGAUCCUGGUCCAAUGACGCACAGACGAGAGAACCUUCCAUGUGUGGCCAUUGUGGUUUUAUGUCACGACCCGUGCAUGGCCUCAGUCCUCACGACAACCCGAUGAGGUUCCGGUCACUCUUCCUCUUGUGCAGGCUCCAAGUGGCCUUCAGGCCAGCUCUCCUCUCGGUUGCAAGACAGCUGAUGCCCUUCCAGACAUGACAUGUCCAGAAUAAGGGGAAAGCUGGUCUGAGAGUGAAGCUAGCACUGAGCCAAGAGAUUGAGAUACGGAGACCCUAAGCUGCUGGAUGCAGCCGGGCCUGACGCCAGAUAACCCUGUGCAUCUCAGUCACAUGAGCCAAUAAACUUUCCUUUCUUGG